GUAAGUGGACACUCAAAGUCAACUGUGGGCACCAUACAGCCACUUGAUUGUACCAUCUGUCAUUUUGUCAUUUAUUUCUUGGUAUGAAAUGACUUAGCUUCUAAACCAGGUCUGUGUUUCAGGCCUCUUGAUUUUUAAUGCAGGAUCCUCCUGAUGUUUAUUAUUGCUCUCUCCUUUCCCGCACGUUUAACUGCAGACAACAUUUUAAAAUCUCCCACCAUUUGUACCGGUUUGCAUCCAGGAAUCUUUCUAAGCUCUGCUUCCCAAACCUGAACUCUCUGUUGCCAUCCCAUUGUGAUUGGUUGCAUUCUUGCUCUCUGCCUGCUUCCAUGGGCUUGCUGCUCCACACCUCCCUUUAUUACCUGUCCUUCAGUCACCUAGUACUUUAGCGGCAGUACCUUUGGCUCAGUGCCCUCCACCAAAGACCAGCCCCCAUGGCUGAGAUCUGGCCUUUCACUCUUACUCCUAAGUGGGCACAGAAAUAACCACUUUCUAGAAGAAAGCCAGUUCCUUCUCCAAGAAUCUAGCUGCUCUGCCAUGGGAUAAGUAGAGAACUGACAGCCCUAAAAUUCAACACCAGCCUGAAUGGUUCUGGUCAAAUUCUUGGAUUUGUCCCUAAUUCCUGCAUCCUACAGUGAACUCUGCUAAUUUCCACAAGGGUUUAUGCCAUGGCUAUUGUCUCCUGACCUUGACUCAUUUCUGACUCCUGCUACUUCCUUGGCAACUUGUUCUCUCCAGAAGGGACAUGGCAAUCAAAGGAGCCCAAAAGCAGCUGGCACCUGACCCAGGCUAUUGGCAAAUGCAUUUUCUACUGGCCCAUCAAACUGGUGAGAAACAGAAUCAUCUCAGGAGGAGAGUGAGGUGGCAAUCACAAAUGUGAAUGAGUGGCAAGUCAAAAUCCAGCUAUUAACACAGGAGGUUCACUGGGGAAGUCGGAAAGAAAAGCACAUUGGCAUUCACAUUAGGCAGAAAAGGACCCACGGAGCUGUUAGAAAACCCAGAGGGAAAUAGAAGCUAAAGAACUUUUCCUACUAACACACUAAUGAUGUUUAUCUGCACACAGCCUGCUUUUGUGCUAGUACUUUAUAUACAAUUUAGGGGCCAUUAAACUUUAAUUUAAGAUAAUUCAUUAGAAA
Long non-coding RNA from Neofelis nebulosa (Clouded leopard), 1136 nucleotides. RefSeq lists it as uncharacterized. Lineage: Eukaryota; Metazoa; Chordata; Mammalia; Carnivora; Felidae. The transcript is spliced from 2 exons. The record is from RefSeq and is a predicted model, not a curated record.